Molecule: ribosomal RNA, 164 nt
Filed under: uncultured bacterium
Lineage: Bacteria
Description: partial 16S ribosomal RNA
Rfam family: Bacterial small subunit ribosomal RNA
Source: RNAcentral
UAGGGAAUCUUCCACAAUGGACGCAAGUCUGAUGGAGCAACGCCGCGUGAGUGAAGAAGGGUUUCGGCUCGUAAAGCUCUGUUGUUAAAGAAGAACGUGGGUAAGAGUAACUGUUUACCCAGUGACGGUAUUUAACCAGAAAGUCACGGCUAACUACGUACCAG